GUGCCAGCAGCCGCGGUAAUACAGAGGGUGCAAACGUUGUUCGGAAUUACUGGGCGUAAAGCGCGUGUAGGCGGCAACGCAAGUCGGAUGUGAAAGCCCAUGGCUCAACCAUGGAAGUGCACUCGAAACUGCGUUGCUAGAGUCUCGGAGAGGAAGGUGGAAUGCUUGGUGUAGAGGUGAAAUUCGUAGAUAUCAAGCGGAACACCGGUGGCGAAGGCGGCCUUCUGGACGAGUACUGACGCUGAGACGCGAAAGCGUGGGUAGCAAACAGGAUUAGAUACCCCCGUAGUCC
Molecule: ribosomal RNA, 292 nt
Filed under: uncultured bacterium
Lineage: Bacteria
Description: partial 16S ribosomal RNA
Rfam family: Bacterial small subunit ribosomal RNA
Source: RNAcentral